Acanthosepion pharaonis is the source of this 112-nucleotide non-coding RNA. The record is from the annotation of a GenBank genome assembly. NCBI's taxonomy places the organism in Eukaryota, Metazoa, Mollusca, Cephalopoda, Sepiida, Sepiidae.
UUACGGCCAUAUAGAGUUGAAACACAGGAUCCAGUACGAUCACCGAAGUUAAGCAACAUUAAGCCUAGUCAAUACCGAGAUAAGUGACCGCUUGGGAAAAUCAGGUGCUAUA